Molecule: ribosomal RNA, 476 nt
Filed under: uncultured Chlamydomonadales
Lineage: Eukaryota; Viridiplantae; Chlorophyta; Chlorophyceae; Chlamydomonadales
Description: eukaryotic LSU rRNA
Rfam family: 5.8S ribosomal RNA (bases 1-81)
Source: RNAcentral
UCUAUACUAUGUGAAUCAUCGAAUCUUUGAACGCAUCUUGCGCUUCCAGGCAUUCCUGGGAGCACAUCUGGCUGAGUAUCAAUUUUCCUUCUUCCUUUUCUCUUGUUCUCACGAAUAAGAGUUGAAAAAAAGGAGAGAAUGAGGAUCCCAAAAGGGCGUCUGCUUUUUUGCGUUCCUUGAAAUACAGAGACGCUGUGCUUGCAUAGUGUCGGGACGGUUGCCUGUGCGCCUCCCCAAAGAUCUGUUUCUCCUCCAGAAGAACAGCAAGGAAGAUCCCCCUUCGGGUGGAUCUGUUUGCCUUUUCUCUUUUCUGGCGCGUUAGGAAAGCUACACUUUCUCACGUUGGAAAUCACGAGUCUGUGCAAAUUCUUCUUGCCUACUACUCUGUCUGUGUGUGAAACAAACCAAACAAAAAGACUUUGAUCUCAGCUCAGAUGGGACUACCCGCUGAACUUAAGCAUAUCAAUAAGCGGAGG